Molecule: ribosomal RNA, 720 nt
Filed under: Triticum aestivum (bread wheat)
Lineage: Eukaryota; Viridiplantae; Streptophyta; Magnoliopsida; Poales; Poaceae
Description: partial small subunit ribosomal RNA
Source: RNAcentral
AUGGAGCACGAACAGGUGCUAGUGGUGCCUCAGGUGUCCGGUAACAGCUGCUGCACCUGCAGCAACACGAGCUCCGGCUCUCUGAACGCGUCGUCGCCGAGCUCCGACGAUAGCAGCGCCGUCGCCGCGGGCAAGAAGCGGCCGCGCAGGGACCUGAAGCACCCGACGUACCGCGGCGUGCGCAUGCGCACCUGGGGCAAGUGGGUCUCCGAGAUCAGGGAGCCCCGCAAGAAGUCCCGCAUCUGGCUCGGGACCUUCGACACCGCGGAGAUGGCCGCGCGCGCGCACGACGUCGCCGCCAUCGCCAUCAAGGGCCGCGCCGCGCACCUCAACUUCCCGGACCUCGCGCACGAGCUGCCGCGCGCCGCGUCCGCCGCGCCCAAGGACGUCCAGGCAGCCGCCGCGCUCGCCGCGGCCACGCCGUCGCCCCUCGACGCGCUCUCGCCCGACACCAUUGCUGCGAAGGAGCGGGAGCUGGAGGUUGAGGAGGUUUCGGAGCCGGCAGCGCCCGAGCAGGCAUCAUCGCCGGAUUGUCUGAUCGAGAAUGCAGGACCAGAAUAUGGUGGCAUUGGGCUUGACUACGCGUUUCUCGACGUGCCGGACUUCCUCCUAGAGUUCGGGCUCGCGUCGCCGGAGCCACAGUCCUACUGCGGUUCGCCGUGGGAUGACGUCGACGACAACCUCUUCUUCGGGGAACCGUUGCUGCUCUGGGAGCACUGA